AGAAAGCGCUACUGCGGAGUGAACCGGUCCUUAUAUCUUAGUUUCGUGACUUUGGGGGCGGCAGGCCUGUGAGUUGUUUUCCGCCCUGGACGCUGUUUUGCAAAGAUCUCUGCGCGCCCACCGCCACCCUCCCGGGCGUGCGGGCCGGGAAGCAGCCAGCGGUGGGAAACUCCGACGCCCUCCUCGACACUUUUCUCCCCCCAACUCCCCAAGACUCACUUCUAGGGAAGUCCUUUUUCCCAUCAAGCCCUGGGAAAGACUGGCCAGGCUGAGAGAGGGACCCGUCCUCCUCUGUGCCAAAGGCGGGAGCAAAUCCUGGUGCUGUCGCCUUUGGAUGUGAGUCCUGGAAAUGGCGGGGGUGAGGAAGGUGGGCAGGGGCAAGGUUUGGCCCUCAGGCGAGAACCGACGCCUUGUCCCGGAAGCGCAGCACGGCCGAGUGCGUCCGGGGGUGCAGACGGCGCCCUGGGGUGGUCCUGCCGCCACCUCUCCUUUGACUCAGGAGCGCCGCGCCGCGUCCGGGCGCGUUCUCAGUCGCGCGAAGCCAGAGAGGACCCUGGGCGUGAUUCUCCCUCCCUGGCACAGACGGAGACCCGAGUGACCCCGGGGUCCGGGUGGGCGUGGGGAAUGGACCCAUAGACCCGGGACGAGCGGCGCGGAGCCCGCAGCUGGCCAGCUUCAGCCACCUUGGGAGACGCAGUGCAGCUGCCGCUGCUGACAGACAAGACCAAGGCUCGGCUGGGCCCCACCCCAGAUCCGGCCUGAGCGCCUUCCGCGCUGCUCGGCCUCAAGGCGAAACUUUUCGCGCAGAAACUCCUGGAGAACAGCCCCGGCCGCCAGGUACUCGCCCGCCCGGACCGCAAAGCCCACAGAGCUUCAAUUCGCAGGAAGGGGAGUGGGGAGCCCUGAGCUGGGGUGUUCCUGGAAGAGGUCGGGGAGCGGGGGGAGAGGCAUUCCAGGCUGGAGGCCUGGAAACGUUUGGAAGCUUUGCUAACCUUGGAGACCAUGUCAGGAAAGAAGCGUACCCAGGCCGUCUGCUGUGUGCCCACCCCGAUCCCCAUCAGUGCCCCACGCACUCGAGCUCUUCUUCGGCGUCUGCAGCCUCUUCAUCCGCGCGGAGAGGCGGAGGUCUCCCGGAAACAGUGUCCGACUGUGGCACCCCAGAGCGUCCAAUGCGAGCUCAGGCCUUUCCCGCAAGUCUGGAGUUUUCUUAUCCAGUUGAGGCCGCCUUCGCUGUACUCACUCUCUGCCUCCCACCCCAUCUUCUGCCACCCGACCUCCAUCUUUGAUGGUUAGCGCCUUCAGCCCUCAACAGCUUCGCACAACCAACCCCUAGAAGCCGUGGAGUCAGACCGGCCAGGGUGGGACCUAGGUUUUAACUCGGGUUCUGGCUACACACGCUGCGCCUCCAUACAGUUUGUCCCAGGUUUGGCAGCAGGCCGGCUACCUUCAGGAAUUCUUUGCUUUGGCUUCUGUCUGUUCCUGUCUGUUGGGCAAGUUUCUAGCUACCCCACUGAGAGAACCAUAGAACAAGGACCCUGGCAUGGCAUACAGACAAGGAAUGUUUGCUGAAUUAAUGGAGCUGGUGCCUUGCAGCUUCCCUUUUGUUCCUUGAAGUUGCCCUUGCUCUCCUCCACAUCAGCUCCCUCUCCUCCUCAGCUACUUAUUCCCCACCCUGGCUUCUUCUAGUCGCAGUCCCCAAGUACUUGCUGAAUCCUGUAUGGACAGCCUAAGCCUCCAUUUCUGACAAUUCCUGUGGCCCCACUCCAUUUGUUUUUUAGACUUCUCCCUCCUUUUUGUCCCCAUCCCCCAAGUUAUAAAACUAUAAUG
RNAcentral lists this long non-coding RNA (1827 nucleotides) under Homo sapiens (human). RNAcentral describes it as "HSALNT0303637". The record is from RNAcentral. Lineage: Eukaryota; Metazoa; Chordata; Mammalia; Primates; Hominidae.